RNAcentral lists this ribosomal RNA (497 nucleotides) under uncultured bacterium. RNAcentral describes it as "partial 16S ribosomal RNA". It matches the Rfam family "Bacterial small subunit ribosomal RNA", at positions 28 to 507 of the family's 1533-position model. The record is from RNAcentral.
GAUGAACGCUGGCGGCGUGCCUAAUACAUGCAAGUCGAGCGAACGGACGAGAAGCUUGCGUCUCUGAUGUUAGCGGCGGACGGGUGAGUAACACGUGGAUAACCUACCUCUAAGACUGGGAUAACUUCGGGAAACCGGAGCUAAUACCGGAUAAUAUUUUGAACCGCAUGGUGCAAAAGUGAAAGACGGUCUUGCUGUCACUUAUAGAUGGAUCCGCGCUGCAUUAGCUAGUUGGUAAGGUAACGGCUUACCAAGGCAACGAUGCAUAGCCGACCUGAGAGGGUGAUCAGCCACACUGGAACUGAGACACGGUCCAGACUCCUACGGGAGGCAGCAGUAGGGAAUCUUCCGCAAUGGGCGAAAGCCUGACGGAGCAACGCCGCGUGAGUGAUGAAGGUCUUCGGAUCGUAAAACUCUGUUAUUAGGGAAGAACAUAUGUGUAAGUAACUGUGCACAUCUUGACGGUACCUAAUCAGAAAGCCACGGCUAACUACGUG